This 497-nucleotide ribosomal RNA is filed under the name uncultured bacterium. Its description in RNAcentral is "partial 16S ribosomal RNA". It matches the Rfam family "Bacterial small subunit ribosomal RNA", at positions 28 to 507 of the family's 1533-position model. The record is from RNAcentral.
GAUGAACGCUGGCGGCGUGCCUAAUACAUGCAAGUCGAGCGAACAGACGAGGAGCUUGCUCCUCUGACGUUAGCGGCGGACGGGUGAGUAACACGUGGAUAACCUACCUAUAAGACUGGGAUAACUUCGGGAAACCGGAGCUAAUACCGGAUAAUAUAUUGAACCGCAUGGUUCAAUAGUGAAAGACGGUUUUGCUGUCACUUAUAGAUGGAUCCGCGCCGCAUCAGCUAGUUGGUAAGGUAACGGCUUACCAAGGCAACGAUGCGUAGCCGACCUGAGAGGGUGAUCGGCCACACUGGAACUGAGACACGGUCCAGACUCCUACGGGAGGCAGCAGUAGGGAAUCUUCCGCAAUGGGCGGAAGCCUGACGGAGCAACGCCGCGUGAGUGAUGAAGGUCUUCGGAUCGUAAAACUCUGUUAUUAGGGAAGAACAAAUGUGUAAGUAACUAUGCACGUCUUGACGGUACCUAAUCAGAAAGCCACGGCUAACUACGUG